RNAcentral lists this ribosomal RNA (577 nucleotides) under Diaporthe longicolla. Its description in RNAcentral is "eukaryotic LSU rRNA". The stretch from base 206 to 359 matches the Rfam family "5.8S ribosomal RNA". Lineage: Eukaryota; Fungi; Ascomycota; Sordariomycetes; Diaporthales; Diaporthaceae. The record is from RNAcentral.
UCCGUAGGUGAACCUGCGGAGGGAUCAUUGCUGGAACGCGCUUCGGCGCACCCAGAAACCCUUUGUGAACUUAUACCUACUGUUGCCUCGGCGUCAGGCCGGCCCCUUCACUGGGGCCCCCCGGAGACGGGGAGCAGCCCGCCGGCGGCCAACUAAACUCUUGUUUCUACAGUGAAUCUCUGAGUAAAAAACAUAAAUGAAUCAAAACUUUCAACAACGGAUCUCUUGGUUCUGGCAUCGAUGAAGAACGCAGCGAAAUGCGAUAAGUAAUGUGAAUUGCAGAAUUCAGUGAAUCAUCGAAUCUUUGAACGCACAUUGCGCCCCCUGGUAUUCCGGGGGGCAUGCCUGUUCGAGCGUCAUUUCAACCCUCAAGCCUGGCUUGGUGAUGGGGCACUGCUUCGAGAGGAGCAGGCCCUGAAAUUCAGUGGCGAGCUCGCCAGGACCCCGAGCGUAGUAGUUAUAUCUCGCUUUGGAAGGCCCUGGCGGUGCCCUGCCGUUAAACCCCCAACUUCUGAAAAUUUGACCUCGGAUCAGGUAGGAAUACCCGCUGAACUUAAGCAUAUCAAUAAGCGGAGGA